This 253-nucleotide ribosomal RNA is filed under the name uncultured bacterium. Its description in RNAcentral is "partial 16S ribosomal RNA". It matches the Rfam family "Bacterial small subunit ribosomal RNA", at positions 524 to 776 of the family's 1533-position model. The record is from RNAcentral.
UACGUAGGCAGCGAGCGUUGUUCGGAAUUACUGGGCGUAAAGAGUGUGUAGGCGGUGCUCUAAGUUCGGUGUGAAAUCUCCUGGCUCAACUGGGAGGGUGCGCCGGAAACUGGAAUGCUUGAGCGUGGGAGAGGAAAGCGGAAUUCCUGGUGUAGCGGUGAAAUGCGUAGAUAUCAGGAGGAACACCUGUGGUGUAGACGGCUUUCUGGACCAUAGCUGACGCUGAGACACGAAAGCGUGGGUAGCAAACAGG